Cajanus cajan (pigeon pea) is the source of this 1113-nucleotide non-coding RNA. The record is from RefSeq and is a predicted model, not a curated record. NCBI's taxonomy places the organism in Eukaryota, Viridiplantae, Streptophyta, Magnoliopsida, Fabales, Fabaceae.
CACGCACAACACAGUCGUUCGUGAGCCAAUUUGCGACGGAAGCAUUUCGCAAGAGUUUUUUAAGCUUUCUCUUCUCUAUGUUGUUCUUCGAUUACUUCCAUUUAAGGUGGAACAAAUUUUUCAGAGAUUACAAAAAAAUUUACGCACUAUUUUUAAUUCCAUUUGUUAGUUCGAAAACAUUCAGAUAGCUGAGCCUAAGCUGUUGGAGUUGAGUAUCCUAACAGAGUGGCCCAAAGUUCAGUAUAUAAGUUCACUUGUACCUUCUUUGUUUCCUAAAAAUGUUUACCAGUUCAUUGUAUAAUUCCAUAAUGAACUUGAGGUUGCAAAAUCUGAGAUUAAGAAGUGGCAUUUUUCAUUUCAAAAUGAACCUUUUAUGUCUGCUGGGACCACUCCAGCACCAAAAUUGGUGAUUAAUUAUCUUCAAGAUCUGAAAUCACCUGAAGAGUCUUUAAGAGAGCAGCUUGAAAAAGCAAAGAAAAAGGAAGCUGCAUUCAUUGUCACAUUUGCAAAACGAGAACAAGAGAUAGCAGAGUUGAAGGAUCCUUGUCGCCCUGGAGUCAAGGAUGCUGUGAGAGUAUGCAUUGAAGCUGGCAUUAAGGGACAUUGAGAGUUCUGUUGCUGUAUUUGAAUGCGUUCCCAAGAGAACUUUGGAGUGUUUCAACUCAUUGAUGACCUUUGUCUCAUUGUGAUGCGGUUGGUGAUGUGGUUGAAUUUUUUGCUUUGAUGAUUGAUGAAGGUCUUGUGCCGGAUGAAGUAACCAUAUGAACAACACUGAAGGCGGUGUCAGUGUCUGCUUCAGCAAGCUUCAUGAGUUCCCAGUUACUGCGUUGUUAUGCAUUAAAGUCUGGACUUGGAGGAGAAGCUGCAGUUGCAUUCCUUAGAGACUUGGAUUAUAUGUCAUUCACUUCUCUUUCAGGGCGGCAAAGUGGAGAUAGUGCAAAAUCAUUCCUUAGAGAAGAAUGCAUUUAUAAGGAAAAAUCAGAGAGGGAUAGGAAAAUUGAAGAGUGGCUUCCAAAUGGUGGUACUCAGCUUUCCACAAUGUUACUGCCAUGGUUGGAGCUCGUGUUCUUGGUCUUCCCUAUGCUGUGUCAGAGCUUGGAUGGUAUAUUUAAA